This 2887-nucleotide ribosomal RNA is filed under the name marine metagenome. Its description in RNAcentral is "bacterial LSU rRNA". It matches the Rfam family "Archaeal large subunit ribosomal RNA". The record is from RNAcentral.
ACGCUAUUAGGUGGAUGACUUGGCUCUAAACGCCGAAGAAGGACGUGACAAGCUACGUUAUGCUCCGGCGAGUAGCAUGUAUAUUUUGAACCGGAGAUUUCCGAAUGCGACUUCGCAUUAAUGCCGAAAGGCAGGGGAACGCAGGGAAUUGAAACAUCUUAGUACCUGCAGGAGAAGAAAUCAAUUGAGAUGCUGUAAGUAAGAGCGACUGAAAACAGCACAGGGCAAACCGAAUCCCUUGCAGUAAUGUAAGGGAAAUGUGGUGUUAUAGGACUGUUUUUUCAUCCUAACUUAAAGACUUGAACUUUUCUGGAAAGUUUGACCAUAGAGGGUGAUAGUCCCGUAAAGGAAUUUAAGUGGAUUUAGCAGUAUCCUGAGUACUGUAUCUUAGAUAUGAUGCAGGAAAUUGGGAGGCAUCAACUUCCAACCCUAAAUACGUUUGGAGUCCGAUAGUAAACGAGUACCGUGAGGGAACGUUGAAAAGAACCCUUAGCAGGGGGUUAAAAGAUCCUGAAACCUAAUAGUUAUAGUGGGGUACGGCUCUUAGGAGUUGUACCGUGCGUUUAGAAUAACGUGCCAGGGAGUGUAUUUUUGUGGCAAGGAUAAUUCCAAAAGAAGGAUCCUAAGGGAAACCAACAAGCCCGCAGUUUACGAGGGGCGAGGUAUGAAAGUGCCUGUAGUCACAAGGAUACGACCCGAAGCCGGUCGAUCUAAUCCUGGGUAAGGUGAAGCGGAAGUAAAAUUUCGUGGAGGCCUGAAGAGUUGCUACGAGCAAGUGUUCUUCUAACCUGGGAUUAGGGGUGAAAAGCCAAUCGAGACCGGUGAUAGCUGGUUCCUGCCAAAGUUGGCCGUAGUCAAGUCUCAGACGAGAUGGCUAGGAUUGUAGAGCUACGGAUUGGGGAUUUUGGGGCUUAACCGCUUCGGUUCCCUCUCCAACUCCGAAUGUUCUAGCGUUGUAGACUCUGGGAAACGGGGGCGCGGGGUAAGCUUGCGUCCCGAGAGGGGAACAACCCAGACUUUAGUUAAGGUCCCAAAAUACUAACUAAGUGUUAAAGGGUGAAAAGUGUUCGUAGUCUAAGACAGUGAGGAGGUUGGCUUAGAAGCAGCCACCCUUUAAAAAGUGCGUAACAGCUUACUUAUCGAGAUUGCGAGCCUUGAAGAUGGACGGGGCUAAAUUAGUUACCGAUACUAAAGACAUAGAAAUAUGUGGUAGGCAGGCGUUCUGCUAGGACAGAAGCUAUUCUGUGAAGGAUGGUGGACCUGGUAGAAAUGAAAAUCCUGGCGGUAGUAGGAUCAGAGCAGAGUGAGAAUCUCUGUCACCGAAAGGGCAAGGGUUCCUUGACAAUACAGAUUAGUCAAGGGUUAGUUAAUCCUAACUCAACUCAUAACUCGUAGUUGGGGAAAGGGAAACAGGUUAAUAUUCCUGUACUAUCUGUGUAUGCGUGGCAACACAAGCCUGAUUUUUGACGCUUCUGGCUAAGCCAACACACUUCGUCUAGUGUGUUAAUAAGGGCAAAUCAAGGGAGUGCUGUAAUGGCGAGAACUUGAUUAAAUCUUAGAAUAGUAACUUGUAUGAGUUAUUUGGCUGAUGCCUGGAGUCACUGAAAAGAGAAUCAGGAAAGAUCAUAGAUAAUUAUACCCAGAACCGGCACAGGUGCCCCUAGGUGAGAAACCUAAGGUGUGAAGGUGUAAUCUAGUUAAGGGAAUUCGGCAAAUUAGCCCCGUAGCUUCGGUUUAAGGGGUCCCUGCGCUCGUAUCUGUAUAGGUGCGACUGCAGGGUGCAAUUACUAAGAGGGUCCGACUGUUUAACAAAAACUUAACCAACUGCUACGCUGUGAAGCUUUGUAUAGUUGGUGACGUCUGCCCAGUGUCAGUACUUUAAAGCCUUUUUCAAGAGGCCCAAGAGCUGAUAAACGGCGGGGGUAACUAUAACUCUCUUAAGGUAGCGAAAUGCCUUGCCGUUUGAUUGACGGCUUGCAUGAAUGGCGUAACGAGACCCUCACUGUCCCUAACUAGAAUCCUCCGAACACUCUUUACUGGUGCAAAGGCCAGUGAUAUCCAGUGGGAAGUGAAGACCCCGUGAAACUUUACUGUAGCCUGCAGUUGCGGUGUUGCUUUUGUUGUAUAGCGUAAGUGGGAGUUGUUAAAACUUGAUCGCAAGAUUAAGUGUAGACGUCUAUGUAACACCACUCUUCAGAAUUUACAUUGCUUACUCGCAUUGCGAGAACACCUGUUGGUGGACAGUUUGGCUGGGGUGGCACUCCGCUGAAAGAAUAUCAGCGGAGCCCAAAGGUUGGCUCAACCGGGUCAGAAAUCCGGUGUAGAGUGCAAAGGCAAAAGCCAGCCUGAUUGGAUUCCUAAUAAGAUGGAAUACAAAAGCGAAAGCUUGGCUUAGCGAACUUCCAAAGCUCCUUGAUGGGGCUUGGAAAUGACCGAAAAGUUACUCCGGGGAUAACAGAGUUGUCGCGCCCGAGAGCUCAAAUCGACGGCGCGGCUUGCUACAUCGAUGUCGGCUCUUCCUAACCUGGGCGUGCAGCAGCGCCCAAGGGUGGGGGUGUUCACCCAUUAAAAGGGAUCGUGAGCUGGGUUCAGAACGUUGUGAGACAGUUUGUUUAAUAUCUACUGGAUAUGUUUUAGUGUCUGAAAGGAAGGAAGCAAUAGUACGAGAGGAACUUGCUUUCGGAGCCUCUAGUCUAUCGGUUAUCUGACAAGGUAUGCCGAGCAGCCACGCUCUAAGAGAUAAGUGCUGAAAGCAUCUAAGCACGAAGCCCUCCUUGAAAAGAGACAUGAGGAUACUCAUAAAAGAUGAGUUUGAUAGGACUGUGGUGUAAGUACCGAGGCAACGAGGUAUUCAGCCAGCAGUUACUAAUAGUCCGCAUUUAAUCUU